GCAGUAGAAGGCGUACUGUCUAGCGGAUGGCUGCUCCGCUUUUGCACCCUGCUCUAGGAGGAGGAGGUGGAUGUGAAGUAGGAGGUUGAGGAGGCGGUGACCGUGGCGGCGACAACGCAUUCAGAUGUCUGCCCUAUCAACUUUCGAUGUUACUUUCUGCGCCUACCAUGGUGACCACGGGUAAUGGGCAAUCAGGGUUCAAUUCCAGAGAGGGAGCCUGAGAAAUGGCUACCACAUCCAAGGAAGGCAGCAGGUGCACAAAUUACCCACUUCCGACGCAGGGAGGUAGUGAC
Molecule: non-coding RNA, 293 nt
Organism: Pelobates cultripes (western spadefoot toad)
Lineage: Eukaryota; Metazoa; Chordata; Amphibia; Anura; Pelobatidae
Source: the annotation of a GenBank genome assembly